AAUGCUGCUUGUGACCAUGAAACUCUGUUAACUCAGGCUUUUAAAUGGCUGACACGUAGGCUGAGGCAGAAGAGGAGGGGUUGGUCUUGUUUCAGGGGUGGCAGAGGCGGAAGAAAAUUGACAUGUAACUGGACUCGUGAAGUUCAAACCUGUGUUAUUCAAGGGUCAACUGCAUCAAGUAACUGGCAGAAGUUUUGGUGAUAAAGAUUUUCGGACAGGUUUAGAAAAUGGAAUCCUCCUCUGCGAGUUGCUGAAUGCUAUAAAGCCAGGACUUGUUAAAAAGAUCAAUAGAUUGCCUACCCCCAUUGCAGGACUGGAAAUUGAUCCCAUUCAAGAUGAGAAGUAAGUUUCUAAAGUCAUUGUCAAGCCAGCUGUGUAAUUAGGCUCAGACAUCCUUCCAAACAAGUGCAUGAUUCUUAACAUUUUCUAAAGGAGUUGCUCAGGACAAAAUAACACUAGACAAUAUUAUCUUAUUCUUGAGAGGUUG
Molecule: small RNA, 487 nt
Filed under: Pongo abelii (Sumatran orangutan)
Lineage: Eukaryota; Metazoa; Chordata; Mammalia; Primates; Hominidae
Description: processed transcript
Source: RNAcentral